UGAAAGUUUUAAUUUAGCUUAGGAAUUGGGUGGGGGUCUUUUUUACAUGUAAGUUUAAGCGUGAUUGAAAUUUCAUUUAAAUAAUGAUUUAUUAAUUUUAUUCGCAGUAAAUAAUUUUGGGGAAUUAGCUAUUGCUAGAAUUGGGGAGAUCAUGAAGAAUUAACAUAAUUUGUGCCAGCAGUUGCGGUUAUACAGAUAAUUCAAUUCAAUUAUUUUGGGGGAUAAUUAAUUGUAUUAGGUUGGCUUGUAAUAGAUUUUUUAAGGUGAAAUUUUAAUUUUUUUUUGUAGUCAAUGGUUUGAUAAUGAUUUAUUAAAACUUAAAUUUAAACUAGGAUUAGAUACCCUAUUAUUUAAGAGGUUAAUAAUUUUUCUUGGUUAUUAAUAGAUUUAUUCUUUAAAACUAAAGAUUCUGGCGGUUUUUUAGUCUAUUCAGAGGAAUCUGUCCUGUAAUUGACAUUCCACGUUUUAUUUGACUAUUUUUAUUCAGUUUGUAUAUCGCCGUAGAUUGAAUAUUUUAUGAGAAUUAAAUAUUCAUUGUUCUAAAUUAAGAAGGAAUUCAGGUCAAGGUGCAGCUUAUAAAAUAGUAGAGAUGGAUUACUUUUAAUUUAUUUUUGGUUAUUUAAGUGAAAUUUAAAUAUAAAUUGGAUUUGAUGGUAAUAAAGUUUAAAUUGAUUUUAUGAUUUUAGCUCUAAAAUAUGCACAUAUCGCCCGUCACUUUCAUUAAUAAUGAAAUAAGUCGUAACAGAGUAGGUGUACUGGAAAGUGUGUCUGGAAUGGC
This 778-nucleotide non-coding RNA is filed under the name Histeroidea sp. 5 KM-2017. The record is from RNAcentral. Lineage: Eukaryota; Metazoa; Arthropoda; Insecta; Coleoptera.